This 5002-nucleotide long non-coding RNA is filed under the name Sus scrofa (pig). RNAcentral's name for it is "lncRNA (ENSSSCG00050023319.1)". Lineage: Eukaryota; Metazoa; Chordata; Mammalia; Artiodactyla; Suidae. The record is from RNAcentral.
UUUUUUUUUUUUUUUUGGUCUUUUUAGAGCCAAACCCUUGGCAAAUGGAAGUUCCCAGGCUAGGGGUCAAAUCAGAGCUGCAGCUGCUGGCCUACACCACAGCCACAUCAACAUGGGAUCAGAGCCACAUCUGCAACCUACACCACAGCUCACGGCAACAAUGGAUCCUUAAGCCACUGAGUAAGGCCAGGAAUCAAACAAACAUCUUCAUGGAUACUAGUCGGGUUCAUUACCACUGGGCCUACAAAAUUAUUUGAUUCACCUCAAAGAACUUUAUUUCUCUGACCAUCUUUGAUUCCUGAGGGCCCAAUAGCUGUAUACAAUGGAUGUUCAAUAAAGUCUUUUCUUUUCUUUCUUUCUUUUUUUUUCUUUUUUUUUUUCUUUUGGCUUUUUAGGGCCACACCCAUAGCCUAUAGAGAUUCCCAGGCCAGGGUCAAACUGAUCAGAGCUGCAGCUGCUGGCCUACACCACGUCCACAGCAAUACAGGAUCAGAGCCAUGUCUUCAACCUACACCACAGCUCACAGUUGGAUCUUUAACACUGCAUCUUUAACCCACUGAGGGAAGCAGGGAUCGAACCCAUGUCCUCAUGGAUACUAGUUGGGUUAGUUAGUGCUGAGCCAUGAUGGGAACUCCAACUCUUAAUGAACAAUGAAUCAAGUCUUUCUCAUACCAACAAUAACAAGGGGAAAUAUCUUCCUAUUCUAUUCAAAUCAACAAACACAGCCUGCUAAGUUUCAGGAGUGAUCUAAAGUUAGAAGGGCUUUCACACAGUCAAGUUCACUUUCGUUUCUGCCGAGAUUCCCCAUGUGGAAAAGCUCCCAGAAAGGCUUUCUCCCAGAUAAGGAGAAAGAGAUGUCUAGACAAUUCCGCUUUAGCCUUCUGCUGGGAAAACCUCCAGCUAUCUCACUGAACCUCAUAUAACCAAGUCAUAGUUCACAUUUCACAGAUUCCUCACCAGGGUUUUGACAUCUUUGGAGAAGAGGGCUGGGGGAUGGGUGGGCAGACACUGUCUUUAGAGUGGUUUCUAACCUACCCUUAAGUACAAACAAUUCUAAGAAGGCUGGAAGGUCACUGGUCCCUGCGGUUGCCAAACAAAAAAAUAAAAAAAGGAGGUCUGUCCUAUGGAGAGUCUCCAAAAAAGUGAAAAAGAGCCUAAUCAUGAUUUAACUACAAUAUUUUACACUGUAAUCACAGAGGAGAAAACCACAGCAGAGAAAAUCUCCUGGGUUGCAAGCUGGAAUUGUGGAUCCCAUUGUCCAUACCAACAAACAAAAGAUUGCUCUUGAGCAAAACUGUACAGGAAAGUGGGAUCUUGGUACCCUUCACCCAUUUCAAUUCUCCCACAUCUCCCUAAAAUUUCCCCACCUUAGUGUGCCUAUAAUUUCCCCAUCCUUCCUCCUAUGGGGCUACAAGAGAAAAAACUCUGAGAAAUGAGUUUCAAAGCUCUGGUUAGGUGCAUUUUCUCCUUAUCUAUUAAUAACCAACCCAUGACUUACUGACUUUCUAUACCUUGUCCCUAAGCUGUAAGUUCUUGGUUGGACCCAUCUGUUGUUUUCAUGGUACUAGCAGCUCAGAGCAUAGUCUAUGUGUUACACGGCAGGCUUGUAAAUGCUGAGAGGCUAAAGAGAUGAAUUGGAUUCUUUUUUGGCUUUGAAAUAACAUUAAACCUAUAGAAAUGAAAGUCACCUUGAGCUUGGUGCUACUUGCCCAGCAUCUCUUUCCCCUUCCCUCUCUGAAUUCUUUCAGUGACCCAGCCCACCCCUUCCUGAGUGGUAGUUACUGUUGUUAUGUUAACCCAAGUUCUUCAAGCAACACUAAGCAUGAGUAAAUGUACUGUACACUGUCAGCACUGAAUAAAUUACUAGGAUCCUGAUGACUCCUUAUGUAAAUGAAGAAAAAUAUGUAAAAAAAAAAAUCCAUUGAAAAAUAAUGUGGACAUCCUGCAUGGCUAGCUUUAACAACAGAAAUGCCUUUGUGUAUGUGCUAGGCUGGGUAUGCUGGAAGCCCUUCUGGAGACAGUAAUGAGAUAAGGAAGGUCUAGUACCUGGAUAAGUACCUAGAUCAUGUCUCAAAAGGUACUUGUGAGAACAGGUAUCCUCAUUUUCAUUACAGUGGGGAGCUGAACUGAUAACACAGAACUUCAUCCACUCAAGUCACUUCACAUGUUGCGAAAAACAAGCUUCCAAAAAAGACAGUCUCCAUUCCUCUCCCCCCUGACCUUCCUGUCAGGCUUCCCUUAAUGAAGUUUCUGCCUGAUAAACAUCAUGAAUGUUCCAUUGUGUUGAGAAGAAAGAAGCUCACAUCAAAUUGCUUGGUCUGAGCUAAGCCCUUGGGGGCCACCUAAGCAAAUCCGCUAAGUUCUUUGGAAAAGGUUAUUUCUCCAACCGGGACAGUUUCCAUGAUUUGACUUGGCAUAAUAUUCAACAACAGGUUCUUCUUCUACUACUAUCUUUCUCAUAAUCAGUAGUUUCAGGACAAGAAGGAAGUAUAUUUGGCUUGUUUUUUCUCAUAAACACAACUCCAAACUAUGUUAUUCAAGUGUACUCAAGUUUUUCUGGGAACGAUACACACAAGCACACGUGCGCACACACAAACCAAAUGUACUUUCCAAAUUAUUUUUAAAAAAGAUAUACUUUGCGGAGUUCCUGUCGUGGCGCAGCAGAAACAAAUCCAUCUAGGAACCAUGAGGUUGCGGGACUGAUCCCUGGCCUCACUCAGUGGGUUAAGGAUCCGGUGUGAGCUGUGGUGUUAAGUCGCAGACAUGGCUCAGAUCUGGCAUUUCUGUGACUGUGGCGUAGGCUGGCAGCUGUAGCUCCAAUUAGACCCCUAGCCUGGGAACCUCCAUAUGCCGUGGGUGCAGCCCUAAAAAGCAAAAAAAAAGAUAUAUUUUGUUACAUCAAAAUAUUGAUGAAAAAGUCAUAACACAAUGGGCAGAGAAAUUAGGUUUCAUCUCAUUCAGGAAAGAAAAGAAAAGAUGUUAAAGGAAUAUCCAUUUUUUUCUUAAAUACCAUCUAUAAAAUAAUUACAUCAUUUGCUCCAAGAAUUCUGUCAUUAAAUAAUGACAACUCAGUGUAGAAAGGACAGCUCACAACUUCUCCAUAAUAGUUAUUUUCUAAUUUUAACAAGAGCCCUGUGCCCUUUUAUAGGUACUAAUUUAUUUAAAUUUCACAAUAAUCCUAAAUGAGAGUGGGAAAAAAAAUUCCAUGAGAGCAGAGAACUUUGCCAGCUCUUUCUUCCCACUCAUUUAUCUCAAGGUCUGGCACAGUGCCAGGCAUACAGUAGGUAAUUAAUAAAACCUGUUGAGGAGUUCUCGUCAUGGUGCAGCAGAAAUGAAUGAGACUAGGAACCAUGAGAUGGACACUUCAACUGAAGGUUUUCCAGCUUCCAGAUUGGGUCUGAGGGUAGGCUGGGGAGUUGGAGAGAGAAAUGAGGUGGACAAGAUGGAAAGGAAAUGUGAGAAUGAAAUUUUAGGCAUAGCCAUAAAUCAUCGAUAAAAGUAGAAAGUGGUGUAUCUUUGUAAAAGGGCAAUUUGGCAAUACUUAAUACCUUUUGAAACAGAAAAGACCACUAUUGGGAUUCUAUCCCAUAAAUACAAUUAUAUCUGCAUGAAGAUCAAGAUACAAAGAAUAUACUACUCAUUGCAACAUUAUUGGUAAAAACAAAAGGCUAGAAGAAUUUUAAUGCUCAUCUGCUAGGGGACCGGUCCAAUGAAUUAUGUAUGGAACACUGACAAGAGGGCGAACUCCAAGUCACUGAAAAGAAUGAAGCCAAUCUCAGUACUGAUGGAAAAACAGCUCCAAAAUAGAGUUGUAAAUCAUAUGGAGCAGUAACUGAUACGUAUAGACCACCAAAAAAUACACAGAGCUGGAGUUCCCUGGUGGCCUAGUGUUUAAGGAUGUGGCAUUGUCACUGCUGUGGCUAGGGUAACCACUGCACAAUUGGUUCGAUCCCUGGGUCAGGGGUAUAUAUGUAUACACACACACACACACACACACACACGUUAACAUAUAUGUGUAAACAUACAUGCACAUACACACACACAUACACAUAUAUACGUACUUUGUUUUCUAUAUAUAUUUUUUCUGUGUGUUUUUUUUAGGGCCAUACCCACAACAUAGGGAAGUUCCCAGGCUAGAGGUCAAAUCAGAACUGCAGCUGCUGGCCUGUGCUACAGCCACAGCAACACAAGAUUCAAGCCAUUUCCGCAACCUACACCACAGCUCAUGGCAACACUGGAUCCUUAACCCACUAGGUGAGGCCAGGGAUUGAACCCACAUCCUCAUGGAUACUAGUCAGGUUCGUUAUUGCUGUGCCACAAUGGGAACUCCCUGUGCAUUUUUAUUAAAGGAGGGACGGAAAGGGAAAAGGAAAGAGAACUUUUAUUUCUUGUUAUCUUUUCAAGGACAAACCUGUGGUAUACGGAAGUUCUUGGGUCAGGGGUCAAAUCAAAGCUGCAGCUGAGGCCUACACCAAAGGCACAGCAACACCAGAUCUGAGCCACAUCUGUGACCUAUGCCGCAGCUUGUGAAAACACUGGAUUCUUAACACACUGAGUGAGGCCAGGGAUUGAACCCGCAUCCUCACCAAGACGUCAGGUCCUUAACUACUGAGUCACAAUGGAAACUUGGGAAAAAACUAUGUUUGAAUUUCUAGAACCAAAAACUAUCAAAGGUGGUUGCAUCUGGAGAAAACCAGAGAAGACAAGGAACCACAGAUUUUUCACUUCUAUAUAUCUUUCUGUACUGUUUGAAUUUUUUAUUCCACAUCUACACUCCUUUUUCACUUUUAAAAGUAAAUGCAUAUGGAUAUUCUAAAUCAGACCAUUGAAAGGGUUACAAUAUAUUUGUAGUUUGUUUGUGAAUCUGUACUAAACUAUUUUUCUUAGGGGGCUGGGACCAUUAGUGGCAUAUGCUAAAAAAAAAUUUACAUUUGUAGAACACUUCAGUCACUUCUGUAGGUAUUAACUCCUCUUGAUUAAAAGCUCCAGGACUGAAAUUCCC